RNAcentral lists this ribosomal RNA (254 nucleotides) under uncultured bacterium. Its description in RNAcentral is "partial 16S ribosomal RNA". It matches the Rfam family "Bacterial small subunit ribosomal RNA", at positions 524 to 776 of the family's 1533-position model. The record is from RNAcentral.
UACGGGGGGAGCAAGCGUUGUUCGGAUUUACUGGGCGUAAAGGGCGCGUAGGCGGCCACGACAAGUCAGUUGUGAAAUCUCUGGGCUUAACUCAGAACGGUCAACUGAUACUGUCGGGCUAGAGUCCGGAAGAGGCGAGUGGAAUUCCCGGUGUAGCGGUGAAAUGCGCAGAUAUCGGGAGGAACACCAAUGGCGAAGGCAGCUCGCUGGGACGGUACUGACGCUGAGGCGCGAAAGCGUGGGGAGCAAACAGG